Molecule: antisense RNA, 921 nt
Filed under: Pan troglodytes (chimpanzee)
Lineage: Eukaryota; Metazoa; Chordata; Mammalia; Primates; Hominidae
Rfam family: Ghrelin opposite strand RNA conserved region (bases 100-169)
Source: RNAcentral
GUUUGAACAUUUAUUCGCCUCCUGAGCUUGUACAGCAGUCGUGGGAGUUGCUGCAGAAGCAAGCGAAAAGCCAGAUGAGCGCUUCUAAACUUAGAGAGAGGGAGAGCGCCUCAUCUCUUCCAUUUUCCAGGUAUUCCUGAGAUGAUUUAUUGGAGCUCAAAGCUUUGGGAGGGUUGGGGCCUUCCAUUCCCUCCAGUAAAUACUUGUUUUUCUUCCACCGCUGAGGCAAAUGCGGGGUGGCCGAUCACCUGGCAGACAUCUUAGGAAACAGGAGCACCGGUCUGGGAAACUGCUGGCCUGGCCUAACACCUGGCGCUGUGGUGCAGGAAAAUCAGUCUGCGCUGAACAGGAUGGAAUUGGGGCAGGACGUCCAGUGAGGAGGACAUUGAGGCAGUAGAGCAGUUGAUUGCCGAAUGACCACCUACCCUGACUUAAAAGAUCAACCUCAGGGUGGAUUGGAGCUUUCUAGAGUCUCUUGGGACAGCAGAAGCACAGGCCGGGUUGGACUGAAUCUUUAAGUGGACAUGAGGGACAAAGUACCUCCUGUUGGUAAACAUCUCACCACCAACCCACUGUGGUGGCUAAAAUCCCACCUUUAGUCCCAGCAACAUGUGAGCAUGUCACCAGGAGGUCUUCACAGGCCUGUCUGCCACCUGAGUGUAGACAUCUUUUGGCCCUGGAGCCCAGAGAGGCUGAAUGUGGAGAGGGUGGAGAGAGGUCUGUAGUCCUCAGAGAAGACUUGCAGCUUUUUCAGAGCCACCAACCCAUAAAAAAAAAAAUCCCCAAACAGGAAAACCCUAACUGUGGUGACCAGGUACCUCCUGAGACAUGAAGCCUCCACUUACCUGGACCCUGGAGGCCUCUCCGGGCACAGCUGCCAAUGUUGAUCUUAGAUAAGACCACCAGCAAGUAAACAUCCAC